RNAcentral lists this long non-coding RNA (13241 nucleotides) under Solanum tuberosum (potato). Its description in RNAcentral is "long non-coding RNA (STUB_LNC001201)". Lineage: Eukaryota; Viridiplantae; Streptophyta; Magnoliopsida; Solanales; Solanaceae. The record is from RNAcentral.
UAAGCCGGUUGUUCCUGGUAUUGCGCACUUAUACUUGGGAGAUAAAGCCAAACAUGAUGAAAUAGCUGCACAGUGGACACUGAGAUUUGCAAGGUGAAAGAAGAACUUGAUGUGGAACUUUUUUAACGAGUUCAGGUCAGCCAUUGCUUAGUUUGAAGUUUAACAAGCAUAGAAGAGCUGUUGUAGACGAUAUUUAAACUUACAACCUGUAUAUAAUUCAUAUAAAUAAAUUCAACUUCUGUUAAACUAACUUUACAAAUUUCACAUUUAGACCUGUUGCUUUAUUUGUUUGUUGAAUAGUUCUUUCCUUCAUUUACACGUCCUUGAGGCUGAACCAAUAAAACAGAAUGAAACUGGAGGACAGGUUUUACCCUAAAAUUCGAUUAAUCUUGCAUCAUGUGAAGUUUUUUUUUUUUUUUUUUGGUUCUUACCUGUAUAUAAUUCAUAUAAAUAAAUUCAACUUCUGUUAAACUAACUUUACAAAUUUCACAUUUAGACCUGUUGCUUUAUUUGUUUGUUGAAUAGUUCUUUCCUUCAUUUACACGUCCUUGAGGCUGAACCAAUAAAACAGAAUGAAACUGGAGGACAGGUUUUACCCUAAAAUUCGAUUAAUCUUGCAUCAUGUGAAGUUUUUUUUUUUUUUUUUUGGAUCUUUUAUUGAAAGCAAGUAGAACUAGUCAGAGUCAUUACAAAGAGGAACUGAACGCCAUGUUAGAACAUGACGUUGUGCCCGUUAGUUGUAGUUGCAUCACAGUUCCUCCCAAAGCUUGCUAAGGGAUUCCACCACAACAUUGUCAUCUCGAUAAACAUGGCGAACUUCAGUAGGCCCAUUGCACCCAGGUUGAACCUGCAGUUAAUUCCAUACUUUGUAUGUUGUGUAUUCAUUGUUUUUUUGUUUCUUGAACUCCAUGUUUAACAUCUAAUGUUAUGAUGUAGAUAGAGGAAGAAAGAGAAUUUCCCACCCUCUUUUUCUGGUUAUAUUAUUUUAAGAAAAAGUCAACCUUAUACUUAGUAGGAUGCCAUUACUUGGGGGUAUCCUUCCUUUUUAGUGGGUGGCCAUGAAGGCUCUUAGUACUGACCUAGUCUUUAUUUGAACUUUGCUAUCAUCUUAGUGGCUAACCAUGAAGCAAAUACAUAAAUGUUAAGAAGGAUGUCACAAUUGGACUAUAAAAACCAGAGAUCCUAACUCCACCAUGCAACACAAGUCUUAGUUCUAUCCUUUCUUUUCUCUCCAAGAAUCACAAUGAGAAGCUUUUGGAAUUUGGGGAAAUUGCCUCUACUAGCAUUUGCUUUGGCAAUUUGCUUUGUAGCCAGCACUGUUGUUGCUGAUUACUCUUAUGGCUAUACUUCUCCCUCACCUUCUUACACCUCUAAGAAGUACUACAAAUCACCAUCUCCAUCCAACUAUCAUGAACCAACUCCAUACUACAAGAAACCGGAGAAACAUGCUGAACAUUCUCCAUCACACUAUUACAAGUCACCGGUGCCUUCCAAGCACGACUAUUACAAGUCCCCUACUCCUUCAAAGCAUUACUACAAAUCACCAGUAGUAGUGAAGUAUUACAAAUCACCAGUUCCUUCAAAGAAGUACUACUACAAGGCACCUUCCCAUUCAAACAAGUACUACAAGGCCCCUGCUCCUUCAAAGAAGUACUACAAGUCCCUUGCCCCUUCAAAGAACUAUUACAAGUCACCAUCUCCUGCAAAGUACUACAAAUCUCCUUCACCUGCAAAAUACUACAAGUCACCUGCUCCAUCAAAUCACUAUUAUUAUAAGUCACCAUCCCCUACAAAAUACUACAAAUCUCCAUCGCCUGCAAAAUACUACAAGUGGCCUUCACCAUCAAAUCACUAUUACUACAAGUCACCAUCUCCAACAAAAUAUUACAAGUCACCCGCUCCUUCUAAAUACUAUAAAUCUACCCCUUACUACAAGUCCCCUCCACCUCCCCCAUACUACAAAGAAUCUACCCCUUACUACAAGUCCCCUCCACCUCCCCCAUACUACAAAGAAUCUACCCCUUACUACAAGUCCCCUCCACCUCCCCCAUACUACAAAGAAUCUACCCCUUACUACAAGUCCCCUCCACCUCCCCCAUACUACAAAGAAUCUACCCCUUACUACAAGUCCCCUCCACCUCCCCCAUACUACAAAGAAUCUACCCCUUACUACAAGUCCCCUCCACCUCCCCCAUACUACAAAGAAUCUACCCCUUACUACAAGUCCCCUCCACCUCCCCCAUACUACAAAGAAUCUACCCCUUACUACAAGUCCCCUCCACCUCCCCCAUACUACAAAGAAUCUACCCCUUACUACAAGUCCCCUCCACCUCCCCCAUACUACAAAGAAUCUACCCCUUACUACAAGUCCCCUCCACCUCCCCCAUACUACAAAGAAUCUACCCCUUACUACAAGUCCCCUCCACCUCCCCCAUACUACAAAGAAUCUACCCCUUACUACAAGUCCCCUCCACCUCCCCCAUACUACAAAGAAUCUACCCCUUACUACAAGUCCCCUCCACCUCCCCCAUACUACAAAGAAUCUACCCCUUACUACAAGUCCCCUCCACCUCCCCCAUACUACAAAGAAUCUACCCCUUACUACAAGUCCCCUCCACCUCCCCCAUACUACAAAGAAUCUACCCCUUACUACAAGUCCCCUCCACCUCCCCCAUACUACAAAGAAUCUACCCCUUACUACAAGUCCCCUCCACCUCCCCCAUACUACAAAGAAUCUACCCCUUACUACAAGUCCCCUCCACCUCCCCCAUACUACAAAGAAUCUACCCCUUACUACAAGUCCCCUCCACCUCCCCCAUACUACAAAGAAUCUACCCCUUACUACAAGUCCCCUCCACCUCCCCCAUACUACAAAGAAUCUACCCCUUACUACAAGUCCCCUCCACCUCCCCCAUACUACAAAGAAUCUACCCCUUACUACAAGUCCCCUCCACCUCCCCCAUACUACAAAGAAUCUACCCCUUACUACAAGUCCCCUCCACCUCCCCCAUACUACAAAGAAUCUACCCCUUACUACAAGUCCCCUCCACCUCCCCCAUACUACAAAGAAUCUACCCCUUACUACAAGUCCCCUCCACCUCCCCCAUACUACAAAGAAUCUACCCCUUACUACAAGUCCCCUCCACCUCCCCCAUACUACAAAGAAUCUACCCCUUACUACAAGUCCCCUCCACCUCCCCCAUACUACAAAGAAUCUACCCCUUACUACAAGUCCCCUCCACCUCCCCCAUACUACAAAGAAUCUACCCCUUACUACAAGUCCCCUCCACCUCCCCCAUACUACAAAGAAUCUACCCCUUACUACAAGUCCCCUCCACCUCCCCCAUACUACAAAGAAUCUACCCCUUACUACAAGUCCCCUCCACCUCCCCCAUACUACAAAGAAUCUACCCCUUACUACAAGUCCCCUCCACCUCCCCCAUACUACAAAGAAUCUACCCCUUACUACAAGUCCCCUCCACCUCCCCCAUACUACAAAGAAUCUACCCCUUACUACAAGUCCCCUCCACCUCCCCCAUACUACAAAGAAUCUACCCCUUACUACAAGUCCCCUCCACCUCCCCCAUACUACAAAGAAUCUACCCCUUACUACAAGUCCCCUCCACCUCCCCCAUACUACAAAGAAUCUACCCCUUACUACAAGUCCCCUCCACCUCCCCCAUACUACAAAGAAUCUACCCCUUACUACAAGUCCCCUCCACCUCCCCCAUACUACAAAGAAUCUACCCCUUACUACAAGUCCCCUCCACCUCCCCCAUACUACAAAGAAUCUACCCCUUACUACAAGUCCCCUCCACCUCCCCCAUACUACAAAGAAUCUACCCCUUACUACAAGUCCCCUCCACCUCCCCCAUACUACAAAGAAUCUACCCCUUACUACAAGUCCCCUCCACCUCCCCCAUACUACAAAGAAUCUACCCCUUACUACAAGUCCCCUCCACCUCCCCCAUACUACAAAGAAUCUACCCCUUACUACAAGUCCCCUCCACCUCCCCCAUACUACAAAGAAUCUACCCCUUACUACAAGUCCCCUCCACCUCCCCCAUACUACAAAGAAUCUACCCCUUACUACAAGUCCCCUCCACCAUACUGAUAUCAAUCCGACUUAAGUAGGAAAACAUAUUUGAGGCUGAACCAAUAAAGCAGAAUGAAACUGAAGGACAGGUUCUACCCUAAAAUUCAAUUAAUCUUGCAUCAUGUGAUGUUCUCAUUGUUUUGGAUCUUUUAUUGAAAGCAAGUAGAACUAGUUGGAGUCAUUACAAAGAGGAACUGAAUGCCAUGGUAGAACAUGACGUUGUGCCCGUUAGUUGUAGUUGCAUCACAGUUCCUCCCAUCGCUAAGGGAUUCCACCACAAAAUUGACUUCUUGAUAGACAUGGCGAACUUCCGGUAGGCCCAUUGCUCCCAGGUUGAACCUGCAAUUAAAUCCAUACAUUGUAUGUGUAUUCACUGUUUUUUCUUGAACUCCAUGUUUAACAUCUAAUGUUAUGGUGUAGAUAGAGGAAGAAAGAGAAUUUCCCACCCUCUUUUUCUGGUUAUUUUAUUUUAAGAAAAAGUCAACCUUAUACUUAGUAGGAUGCCAUAACUUAGGAAUAUCCUGCCUUUUUAGUGGGUAACCAUGAAGGCUCUUAGUACUAACCUAGUCUUUAUUUGAUCUUUGCUAUCAUCUUAGUGGUUAACCAUGAAGCAAAUACAAAAAUGUUAAGAAGGAUGUCACAAUUGCAGUAUAAAAACCAGAGAUCCUAACUCAACUAUGCAACACAAGUCUUAGUUCUAUCCUUUCUUUUCUCUCCAAGAAGCACAAUGAGAAGCUUUUGGAAUUUGGGGAAAUUGCCUCUACUAGCAUUUGCUUUGGCAAUUUGCUUUGUAGCCAGCACUGUUGUUGCUGAUUACUCUUAUGGCUAUACUUCUCCCUCACCUUCUUACACCGCUAAGAAGUACUACAAAUCACCAUCUCCAUCCAACUAUCACGAACCAACUCCAUACUACAAGAAACCGGAAAAACAUGCUGAAUAUUCUCCGUCACACUAUUACAAGUCACCGGUGCCUUCCAAGCACGACUAUUACAAGUCCCCUACUCCUUCAAAGCAUUACUACAAAUCACCAGUAGUAGUGAAGUAUUACAAAUCACCAGUUCCUUCAAAGAAGUACUACUACAAGGCACCUUCCCAUUCAAACAAGUACUACAAGGCCCCUGCUCCUUCAAAGAAGUACUACAAGUCCCCUGCCCCUUCAAAGAACUAUUACAAGUCACCAUCUCCUGCAAAGUACUACAAAUCUCCUUCACCUGCAAAAUACUACAAGUCACCUGCUCCAUCAAAUCACUAUUAUUAUAAGUCACCAUCCCCUACAAAAUACUACAAAUCUCCAUCGCCUGCAAAAUACUACAAGUGGCCUUCACCAUCAAAUCACUAUUACUACAAGUCACCAUCUCCAACAAAAUAUUACAAGUCACCCGCUCCUUCUAAAUACUAUAAAUCUACCCCUUACUACAAGUCCCCUCCACCUCCCCCAUACUACAAAGAAUCUACCCCUUACUACAAGUCCCCUCCACCUCCCCCAUACUACAAAGAAUCUACCCCUUACUACAAGUCCCCUCCCCCUCCACCAUACUACAAAGAGUCUACCCCUUACUACAAGUCUCCUCCACCUCCCCCAUACUACAAAGAAUCUACCCCUUACUACAAGUCCCCUCCACCUCCCCCAUACUACAAAGAAUCUACCCCUUACUACAAGUCCCCUCCACCUCCCCCAUACUACAAAGAAUCUACCCCUUACUACAAGUCCCCUCCACCUCCCCCAUACUACAAAGAAUCUACCCCUUACUACAAGUCCCCUCCACCUCCCCCAUACUACAAAGAAUCUACCCCUUACUACAAGUCCCCUCCACCUCCCCCAUACUACAAAGAAUCUACCCCUUACUACAAGUCCCCUCCACCUCCCCCAUACUACAAAGAAUCUACCCCUUACUACAAGUCCCCUCCACCUCCCCCAUACUACAAAGAAUCUACCCCUUACUACAAGUCCCCUCCACCUCCCCCAUACUACAAAGAAUCUACCCCUUACUACAAGUCCCCUCCACCUCCCCCAUACUACAAAGAAUCUACUCCUUCCUAUAAAUCACCUCCACCUCCACCAUACUACAAAGAAUCUACUCCUUCCUAUAAAUCCCCUCCCCCUCCCCCCCACCACACCCUCCCCCUCCACCAUACUACAAAGAAUCUACUCCUUCCUAUAAAUCCCCUCCCCCUCCACCAUACUACAAAGAAUCUACUCCUUCCUAUAAAUCCCCUCCCCCUCCACCAUACUACAAAGAAUCUACACCUUCCUAUAAAUCUCCUCCACCCCCAUCAACCUACUAUUAAAAUAGUUACUAAUUCUAUCAUUUCCACCAUUUCCAUGAAUUCUAACUCCUACUUUGAGUAUCUCUAUUUCCUCAGCCAAAAUUUUAUGUAUUCUUCAAGAAGGUUUUGCUUGUUUUGUGUGUUCCUUUCUUUUAAUAAUUUGUAAUAUGCAUUGUUUGAGAUCCUCAAGAUCUCCGUCAGUUUGGUUCAUUGUAUCAAGAUUCUUUUUGAUGUAAUCUCUUGAGAGUUCCACUUUGUGUAAUACUAUCUUCUUCUUUAUCAAAUAUUGUGUUCUCUUAUUGGUUGAGUUCUUGACUUCUUUCAUUGUUCCAUAAGCAUUCACCUUAUGGACAUCUAUGCUAAACUCUUAUAUGAAGAGAAACCACAUCUGAGUAUAGUUUGGUAACUGUACUCAUUAACUUUUGAGAAAGCAAAAUUAUGUACAAUAAACAGAAUAAGAAAGAAAUAAAGAUGCAUUUAAACUAAGAAAAUGCAUCAUUUCGACAAUUCUUUUCUAAGAUAGAGAAGAGGAAAAGGCGACGUAGUCAAGGUUUAUCGACAUUUUUCUCUUUAAAGAUUACUCUUUUCAUUAUUGAUUUUUCCUUCUGCGAAGAUGUAACCAAGUUUCAGAUUUGUUAGAAAAGUAUUCUUAGUCUUAUAGGUUAAAUUAAAAACUAUAUGUGCAACUCCAACAUUAUUGCCUCCAUUAAGUUACUAAUAAAUUAACAAACAAUUCGUACGGAAAUGGGAUCCCAAUAUCAAGAGACAAAAGAUUCUUAUGAGAAAACACAAUUAAACGAGCCUCUACUUGAACCUCCAAGGAUAAAGGUACAUGAACAACCAUUUGAUCUCCAUAAAAAUCGGUAUAGAAUCCCUUGAAAACUAAUGGAUGUAAACAAAUAGCGUCCCUCCACUAAAACAGGCUGGAAUGCCUGUAUGCCUAAUCUAUGCAGAUUGGAUGCUCUAUUCAGCAAUAUAGGAUGUCCCUGCGUAACUUCUUGAUCAGUAAAAAAGAAUAAUCUUCUUAUGUAGUUAUUUUUUUUGAUAAAGGUAACUUUAUAUUCAUGUCAAAACUCAUCAGCAGAGCAUGAUGAGGUGGGAUUUGUAAUCUUCUUAUGUAGUUAUUCAUAAGUUGUUAUCCCCUUACAUCUAACUAUUAAAUAAAUAAGUUUCAUACCCCAAGAACACGAAAAGAAAUAUACUGAUAUCAAUCCGACUUAAGUAGGAAAACAUAUUUGACGAGGAGAAUGUAGAGUCUGAAUAAUGAAGACUUGGGAAAAAUUAAGACAUCAAGAUUUUUCCGAUAGAAGUUCUGGAAACCUCAGUGUAGUUGGCGUUGUUAAUGGAGAAUAUGUGACAUUUGACUCUAAUUUUCUUAGUUGCAAUUUUCUCAAUCUUUAUUCUGUGUUCUGUCAUUUGUAAAGGGGGAUUUAAAGAGUGAAGGUUUAUAUAAAGACAUUUUGGGGUUCAUAAGACUAGUUACAUACUAUUGCACAUGAACUAUUGGGAUGAGCUUGUGCAUUGAACAUUGGGAUCAUCUCAGGUGUACUUCUGGACACUUGAGGUGUAAGUAUCGCGAGACUACUAUCUCUACGUCUGUCCCAAAGUAUCUCAUCUCUAUAUGAGUCCCUGACGAGUCUCGAGUCUGCCUUCCAUCCGUGAUCCUCAGACCAAAAUGUUAUAUAAGGUGUAAUCUGGUAUGAUUAUCCACUGUUCAAUAGUAAAGUCAACUUGUAGAUUCUUCUUCUGGAAUUGCUAUUCUUUUACUUUGCCAAUGGGAUGACAGUUGUGGCAUUCCUCUUCUUAUUUUUCUUUUUUUGUUCCUAAAUUAUUUCUUCAUCAUGAAAUUUUUUUCUAAAAGAAAGAAGUCAUGGAUAAAUGCUUCCCACUAAGUACUGACUUAGUCUUUAUUUUGACUUAGGCAUCAUCUUAGUGGCUAACCAUGAAGCCAUUACAUGACUGUUAAGAAGACUAUCAAUUUGUAGUAUAAAUCUAGAGGUUCCUACUCAACUAUGCAACACAAGUCUUAGUUCUAUCCUCCUCUUCUCCAAGUUUAGUUGGUUGAAAAAGCAAAUGAGAAGCUUUGGAAAUUUGGGGCAAUGGCCUCUACUUGCAUUUGCUUUGGCAAUUUGCUUUGUAGCCAGCACUGUUGUUGCUGACUACUCUUAUGACUAUACUUCUCAUUCACCUUCUUACAAUUCUAAGAAAGACUACAAAUCACCUUCUCCAUACUACAAGAAACCGGAAAAACAUGUUGAACAUUCUCCAUCGCAUUACUAUUACAAGUCGCAUGCUCCUUCAAAACACUACUAUAAGGCACCUGUUAUUGCGAAGUAUUACCAGUCACAUGCUCCUUCAAAGCACUACUACAAGGCACCUAUUGUUACGAAGUAUUACAAGUCACACGCUCCUUCAAAGCACUACUACAAGGCACCUGUUGUUACGAAGUAUUACAAGUCACCUGCUCCUUCGAAACACUACUACAAGGCUCCAGUGGUAGUGAAGUAUUACAAGUCACCAGCUCCUUCAAAGAAUUACUACAAGGCACCUGUCCCUUCAAAGGAGUACUACAAGUCGCCAGCUCCUUCAAAGUACUACUACAAGUCGCCAUCACCUGCAAAGUACUACAAGUCGCCUGCUCCAUCAAAGCACUAUUACUACAAGUCCCCAUCCCCUUCAAAAUAUUACAACUCACCCGCUCCUUCCAAAUACUAUAAAUCACCUGCACCACAAAAAUAUUACAAGUCACCAGUUUACUACAAGUCUCCUCCCCCACCACCAACUUAUUAUGAGAAAUCACCUUCUUACUACAAGUCCCCUCCCCCUCCACCAUACUACAAAGAAUCUACCCCUUACUACAAGUCCCCUCCUCCUCCCCCAUACUACAAAGAAUCUACUCCUUACUACAAGUCCCCUCCACCUCCCCCAUACUACAAAGAAUCUACUCCUUACUACAAGUCCCCUCCACCUCCCCCAUACUACAAAGAAUCUACUCCUUACUACAAGUCCCCUCCACCUCCCCCAUACUACAAAGAAUCUACCCCUUCUUAUAAAUCUCCUCCCCCUCCACCAUACUAUGAAGAAUCUACGCCUUCUUAUAAAUCCCCUCCACCUCCACCAUAUUACAAAGAAUCUACACCUUCCUAUAAAUCUCCUCCACCCCCACCAAAGUACUAUGAGCAAUCUCCUACAACCUAUAACUCACCACCUCCACCACCACCAGCCUAUUACAAGCAAACUCCCACCUAUGCCUCACCUCCACCACCUCAGAAGUACGAGCAAUCUGUCACCUAUGCUUCACCUCCACCCCCGCCAGCUUCUCCCCCACCGACGUACUACUAAACAUUCAAUAACUCUAUCAUUUCCAUGACUUCUACAUCCUAUUUUGAUUUCAUUCCCUCUUCCAAAAUUUAAUGUAUGCUUGUCAAAAUGAUCAGCUUUGCUUACUGUAUGUUCAAUAUUGUUUUGUUCUAAUGAUUUGUAUUUUGUUUUAUGUCUUCAUUAGUUUUUCUCAUUGUAUCAAGAUCAAUAGUUUGUUACCUAUCUUCUCUUCUUUGUGUAAUAUUCUGUGGUUUUAAUCGACUUAAUUCUUUCAAGUAUAGUAUACCUCCAUAACAUAUAUUUGAUGAUACAGAAAGAUACAAAAGGUUAGUUGGGAAACUAAACUACCUUACAGUGACCCGUCUGAUAUUGGCUAUGCAGUUAGUAUUGUCAGUCAGUUCAUGUCUGCACGAACAGUUAACAUUGGGUAGUCUUGGAACAGAUCUUGUGUUGUUUGAAAGGAGCCGAAGGAACUGACGGAACUCUAUUUCGAGACUCGGAACUCCAAAUGUUGACUAAAGUCAAUCAUUUCAACUUAAAAGCUUCCAAAACUCCAAAACUUAUAAAAAUCUCAACUUUAUGAUUUGGUUUCAAAUCUAACCUCAUAAGCUUAUCAAACAUGACUCAGGGCAACUAUUGAGAGGGGUAAAACGGUAAUUUUUCCAAAAAAAUGAAUCCAAAUAUGACCUUCAGGGUCAUUACACACUUUGUUCCCGAGAAGAUAGAGAACAUGAUUUCUACUGGUUAUGUAAAGACGAGAGAAAACAGGUAAUAUAUUAAAGAAGGCUUUAAAUGGUACUCGUGUGGAGUAUCUUUGUAACAUGUUGGACAUGAUUAAUAUCUAUACUCCAACUUAAGGGGGAGUGCUACAUAAUGAAUAUAGACGCAUCUUCAUACAAUCGUAGGUUGAGAUAUUAGGGAUUUUAUGAUUUUGUUUUCUUAGAUAGAUUUACUUGUACACCUACAAAUAGCUCACUCUUGGAAUAAUACGAUAAGGAGAUUCGUUCCAUUGUCUCUUUAUUAUACAAUAAGCCUUCUUUGACAUGCUAUCCAUUUUUUGGAUUGUAAUUAUACUUAUCAACUUUUGAAAAAGAAAAUUAUAUAAAGCAAAAAGAAAUAGAGUCAUAAGUUAAUAAAUUAACCAACAACUCCAACAUUGCGGCUUCCAUUAAGUUAAUAAAUUAACCAACAACUCAUAACACUAUGAUAUUCAUUAGUAAAAGAUUAAUCUUCUUAUGUAGUUAUUUGUAAAUUGUUACCUCUUACUAGAGGGGCGUACCCAUUAUCCACCGAGUUUAGAAGGUUGUGAUUGGUCCAAAGGGCGGGUCACAUGCAAAUUUCUCGGUUAUCAAAAAAAAAAAUUGUUACCCUUUACAUGUUUUAACUAAUAAAUAAAUGUCAUACCCCAUGAACAUGAAGAGGACAAUAUUGUUAUCAAUCUGACUUAAGUAACUAAAAAAACAGAUUUGAAGACGAAAAUAUUGAGUUUGAUUAACAAAGACUCAGCUAAAAAUAAGACAUAUCAAGAUGUUUCCGAUAAAAGGUGUUGUGAAACCUCUCUGUAUUUAGCAUUCUUGACGAAGAAUAUGUGACAUUUGACUCUAAUCUUUUUACUUGCAAUUUUCUUAACUCAUUGUUUUUUUUUAUAUCAGUGAAGGGUGAUUUAGAAAGACUAAGUACAUAGAUUGCACAGGAACUAUUGAGACAAGCCCCGUGUGUUGGACGUUUGAUGCCUCUCAGGUAUACAUGCUGACACUUGAGGUGUAAGUCUCGCUGAGGCAACAACCUCUACAUCUGUCCCAAAGUACCUCAUCUCGAGUCCCUAACGAGUCUCAAGUUUGCCUUCCAUGUGUGAUCCUCUGUAAGUUUUUGAACUUCUUGUUCAGUUUUUGUACUAGUGAACAUAUAGAUUCUUGUUCUGCAAAUAAUCAUUCUUUUACUUUCCCAAUGGGAUGGAAGUUGUGGCAUUCCUCUUCUAAUCUUCUCAUUUUCUUUUUUUAUGUUUCUAAUGAUUUGUUCAAUCAUUAGAAUAAGUUUUAAGAAAAAAAGUUGUGGAAAAAUGCUUCCCACUAAGUAUUCAUGACCUAGUCUUUAUUUGGACUUUGCUAUGAUAUUAGUGGCUAACCAUGAAGGAUGCUACUUUGCUACUAUAAAAACUAGACAUCUCAACUCAACUAUGCAACACAAGUCUUAGUUUUAUCCUUCUUUUUACAAUCAAAAUGAGAAGCUUUGGGAAUUUGGGGCAAUUGCCUCUACUAGCAUUUGCUUUGGCAAUUUGCUUUGUAGCCAGCACUGUUGUUGCUGAUUACUCUUAUGGCUAUACUUCUCCUUCAACUUCUUACACCUCUAAGAAGUACUACAAAUCACCAUCUCCAUCUCCAUACUACAAGAAACCGGAGAAACAUGCUGAACAUUCUCCGUCACACUAUUACAAGUCCCCUACUCCUUCAAAGCACUACUACAAAUCACCGGUAGUAGUAAAGUAUUACAAAUCACCGGCUCCUUCAAAGAAAUACUACAAGUCGCCUUCCCCUUCAAAGUACUAUUACAAGUCGCAUGCCCCUUCUAAGAAGUACUACAAGUCACCAUCCCCUUCAAAGAAGUACUACAAAUCUCCAUCGCCUGCAAAAUACUACAAGUCGCCUGCUCCAUCAAACAACUAUUACUACAAGUCACCAUCCCCUGUAAAGUACUACAAAUCUCCUUCGCCUGCAAAAUACUACAAGUCGCCUGCUCCAUCAAACAACUAUUACUACAAGUCACCAUCCCCUGUAAAGUACUACAAAUCUCCAUCGCCUGCAAAAUACUACAAGUCGCCUGCUCCAUCAAAGAACUAUUACUACAAGUCACCAUCCCCUGUAAAGUACUACAAAUCUCCAUCGCCUGCAAAAUACUACAAGUCGCCUGCUCCAUCAAAGAACUAUUACUACAAGUCACCAUCCCCUGUAAAGUACUACAAAUCUCCAUCGCCAGCAAAAUACUACAAGUCACCUGCUCCAUCAAAGCAUUAUUACUAUAAGUCACCAUCCCCAUCACAAUAUUACAAAUCACCCGCUCCUUCUAAGUACUAUAAAUCGCCACCACCACCAACAUAUUACAAGUCACCAGUUUAUUACAAGUCCCCUCCCCCUCCACCAUACUACAAAGAAUCUACCCCUUACUACAAGUCUCCUCCUCCUCCUCCAUACUACAAAGAAUCUACCCCUUACUAUAAGUCCCCUCCACCACCCCCAUACUACAAAGAAUCUACCCCUUACUACAAGUCCCCUCCACCUCCCCCAUACUACAAAGAAUCUCCCCCUUACUACAAGUCCCCUCCACCUCCCCCAUACUACAAAGAAUCUCCCCCUUACUACAAGUCCCCUCCAAAUCACCUCCACCUCCCCCAUACUACAAGGAAUCUACACCUUCAUAUAAAUCUCCUCCACCUCCACCAUACUACAAAGAAUCUACACCUUACUACAAGUCCCCUCCCCCUCCCCCGUACUACAAAGAAUCAACCUCUUCCUACAAAUCCCCACCACCUCCCCCAUACUACAAAGAAUCUACGCCUUCC